RNAcentral lists this unclassified non-coding RNA (252 nucleotides) under Ascomycota sp. Its description in RNAcentral is "partial contains small subunit ribosomal RNA, internal transcribed spacer 1, and 5.8S ribosomal RNA". The stretch from base 1 to 46 matches the Rfam family "Eukaryotic small subunit ribosomal RNA", at positions 1786 to 1831 of the family's 1831-position model. The record is from RNAcentral. Lineage: Eukaryota; Fungi; Ascomycota.
AAGUCGUAACAAGGUUUCCGUAGGUGAACCUGCGGAAGGAUCAUUACCGGGUCUGGGCCUCGUGCCCGCUACCCGCCCUUUGUCAUGAGACGCGAAAGCAACUCACAUCGCUUCGGCCCCGGGUGAGACCCCGCUAUUGACUUAGCGGGGGUGGACCCCGCGGCCGGCCUUACAAAACCCACGCGAAAUUUUGAAGUCUGAACAAAUGAUAAACGAAAAGCAAAACUUUCAACAACGGAUCUCUUGGUUCUG